UCCUUCUCUCGUUGUUUCCCCUUUCCCUUAUAUAGUCGUCCUGAUGUUUCGUCCUUGACCUAAUUUACGCCAUCUUGGUGGGCCUCCUCUGCUGGGCCGAAAAGCCCGUAAGCGUCCGAGCAGCCGCUGAGCCGAAUAUACUUCAGUCGACGAUGAUCGACUAAAAGUACUCAAGAGUCAAGCCGAGAGACCUGACUCUUGAGCCGACCGAUUGACCCGUCGCUCUACCUAGUCUGGGCCAGGCCUUUCUAUUCUUCGGGCCUUGUGGGGUGGUCAAAUCCAUCCUCUACAACUUCUUCCAUUGAAACUAGUAAAACAGUAUUCUGGCAGGUCUCCAGUGACUGUGUGGACUUGAUAUUUUUCUUUAUACUAUAAGGACCUGUUGCUCGACCAUUGGUGUUAAUGGUUGUUUCUCUGAUCUAAAGCUCUGGUGAUGUGAAGUUGUGCUGUCCCUUGGGUUUUAAACAAUGCUUUUUCUGGAUUUUUUGGUAAGAGCAUGUAGAGCUUUAGCUCAGUCACGUUCAGGUCUUUGAGCAGUUGAUCGCGGACCGUCUUCUUCGUCGGCUGCUCAGGUUAAAGAUACGUCGUCUUGUGGCUUCCUUAGAAGAAGUAUGUUCUUAAGAGGCGUUGGCCCGUGGUUAUCUGUUCGGAACCUAUCUUGGAGUCUUAUCUCAUCUCAAAUAAUUUGGACUUGCUUCGCUUUCAUGUUCAUUCUGGCGUCCGUCAUCAAUCGGCUCUACAUCUAUAUCGGUUGUUCGUGAGUUCCAUGAGAUCUAAGUGACCACUUCCUUUCUUUGUUUAUGUCUAGCUAGUUUUUUUUCUUUGUUGAUUCCAUCUUUGGCUCAGAGAGGAUUUGUUUACUUCGUCGGCUUUUGGCUCCGAAAAGAUUACAUAUCUUUGCCGGCUU
Brassica napus (rape) is the source of this 907-nucleotide long non-coding RNA. RefSeq lists it as uncharacterized. The record is from RefSeq and is a predicted model, not a curated record. Lineage: Eukaryota; Viridiplantae; Streptophyta; Magnoliopsida; Brassicales; Brassicaceae. The transcript is spliced from 2 exons.